Toxorhynchites rutilus septentrionalis is the source of this 3378-nucleotide long non-coding RNA. RefSeq lists it as uncharacterized. The record is from RefSeq and is a predicted model, not a curated record. The transcript has 5 exons. Lineage: Eukaryota; Metazoa; Arthropoda; Insecta; Diptera; Culicidae.
CAUUAUAUCAAUUUUCGCCGAGCUGAUAACAAUAAAGAUAAAUUAUUUUGAAUCAUUUUUAAACAUUGCAUUUUAACGUUUGUUUUAUUGCUUAUUAUUUCAUUCCUUUGCUGUAUUAUAGGUUUUCACUUAUGGUCCACCUAAUCGCGCAGAACGCAGAGAAACCGAUUCACAGUGGUGGUACUUUGCGAACCACUAGUGGAGGUGGAGGUAUCGUGUUGGGAAUAACCGGCGAAGAUGGUGAUAACUCGACCGAUAAACAUUUAUUUGUGAACCAUUCUGCUAAGCUGGUUAAUAUGUGAUAAGUGUCAGAAAUACUUGCGAGGGCUGAUACAUCAGGGAUCGCUAUGCAAGCAGCUAUGAGAUUACAUAGUGCAUCGACAGUGCUCGGCCACGGGAUUUGAACCGUGCGCAGCGGAAACUGGCAGUCGGACGGUAACGUUGACCAGCUGUAGUCAGCAGGUUUUUGGAAUUGGCAGCUUAAUGUGGCCGAGCUGCCAGCGCCGCAGAUUAUCAUAAUACUUUGCAACGAGCUCGAACAGAAAGCGAUGUGUAACUUGAACCUGGAUCUGUACAACCUGUAUCGAACGACGCCACCGAACUACGACGAGGUUAACAAACUGCGUGACUCACUCAACGAAAAUCUAAUCAACACCGAUCUGAGCAGCGACUCACCGGAGUGUGUAGCCACGGUGCUAAAAAGUUCUUAAGGGAGCUGCCCGAUCCGAUCAUUCCGGCUAUGUAUAACGACAAAUUCGUCGUAAGCCUCAAAAAUUACCAGUGAUGCGUAGCAAUUCGAUUGCAUAUCCAGGAUCUGCCAAUUUACCACAACAUGACGCUCAAGUACAUCAUGAUCCAUCUGAUACGAAUAUGCCGAAUGCAGAGCCAACGGUGACUGAAAGAGAAACCGAUAAGCUGAUACAAGUGUGGUCCCAUAUUCUAAUACGUUUUCCUAGGGAGAAAAUUGUUCAAAUCGUGUGUAACACGGAAUACCACUUGCGAAUAAUGGAACUAUUACUCUAUAAGCUAGACUGGAACGAAAAACUACCAGAAUUUCUGUCUGCUUCUUCAGUACCACCACGGAAAAUCUCCCGAAGUACGGCUGUGUUACAGCAGCAGCAGCAGCAGCAACAACAAAUACCCGGUUCAUCCACUGUUUUACCAACAGCAUAGCCUGCUUCAAAAAGCCUGCGAUCACAUUCCCGGCAUCUGUGAUACAAGCGCCCUUGAUUGGGGUGUAUAAUAAUGCCGGUAGGAAUGACAGUAAUGGAACAAUGGCUGCUGAAAGUCGGGGGAUAGCGUUGAUACGAGCAAGGCGUUGUACUAUAGGCGGACCGCAAUGUCAAAAUUGCUGUUCGGCCAUUGCUCGUGAAAAACAAAUUUGUUUACAAAACAAAUCGUAUUUGAAUCAUUUUUAAACAUUGCAUUUUAACGUUUGUUUUAUUGCUUAUUAUUUCAUUCCUUUGCUGUAUUAUAGGUUUUCACUUAUGGUCCACCUAAUCGCGCAGAACGCAGAGAAACCGAUUCACAGUGGUGGUACUUUGCGAACCACUAGUGGAGGUGGAGGUAUCGUGUUGGGAAUAACCGGCGAAGAUGGUGAUAACUCGACCGAUAAACAUUUAUUUGUGGACCAUUCUGCUAAGCUGGUUAAUAUGUGAUAAGUGUCAGAAAUACUUGCGAGGGCUGAUACAUCAGGGAUCGCUAUGCAAGCAGCUAUGAGAUUACAUAGUGCAUCGACAGUGCUCGGCCACGGGAUUUGAACCGUGCGCAGCGGAAACUGGCAGUCGGACGGUAACGUUGACCAGCUGUAGUCAGCAGGUUUUUGGAAUUGGCAGCUUAAUGUGGCCGAGCUGCCAGCGCCGCAGAUUAUCAUAAUACUUUGCAACGAGCUCGAACAGAAAGCGAUGUGUAACUUGAACCUGGAUCUGUACAACCUGUAUCGAACGACGCCACCGAACUACGACGAGGUUAACAAACUGCGUGACUCACUCAACGAAAAUCUAAUCAACACCGAUCUGAGCAGCGACUCACCGGAGUGUGUAGCCACGGUGCUAAAAAGUUCUUAAGGGAGCUGCCCGAUCCGAUCAUUCCGGCUAUGUAUAACGACAAAUUCGUCGUAAGCCUCAAAAAUUACCAGUGAUGCGUAGCAAUUCGAUUGCAUAUCCAGGAUCUGCCAAUUUACCACAACAUGACGCUCAAGUACAUCAUGAUCCAUCUGAUACGAAUAUGCCGAAUGCAGAGCCAACGGUGACUGAAAGAGAAACCGAUAAGCUGAUACAAGUGUGGUCCCAUAUUCUAAUACGUUUUCCUAGGGAGAAAAUUGUUCAAAUCGUGUGUAACACGGAAUACCACUUGCGAAUAAUGGAACUAUUACUCUAUAAGCUAGACUGGAACGAAAAACUACCAGAAUUUCUGUCUGCUUCUUCAGUACCACCACGGAAAAUCUCCCGAAGUACGGCUGUGUUACAGCAGCAGCAGCAGCAGCAACAACAAAUACCCGGUUCAUCCACUGUUUUACCAACAGCAUAGCCUGCUUCAAAAAGCCUGCGAUCACAUUCCCGGCAUCUGUGAUACAAGCGCCCUUGAUUGGGGUGUAUAAUAAUGCCGGUAGGAAUGACAGUAAUGGAACAAUGGCUGCUGAAAGUCGGGGGAUAGCGUUGAUACGAGCAAGGCGUUGUACUAUAGGCGGACCGCAAUGUCAAAAUUGCUGUUCGGCCAUUGCUCUUGAAAAACAAAUUUGUUUACAAAACACAUCGUAUCUUUUGGUGACGAAUGCAUUCGUUGGCAAAAUAGCUGCUCGCGCUUUACUGUCGAAUCAUAACAGUGCAGAAGGAUGUUUUUAGUAUAUCUUUUCGCUUCAAGCUGAGCAAUCAAUGCCUUCCUUUCCAAGCAAAAUGUACUUAUGUUUAGCUCCCAUCCGCGGGGAAAAUAGUACUAUCAGCUUACGGCGAUGGUGACAAGAAAUAACGUUGAUUGUGGCUCCACUGAUUUCGUUCAGGGAAGAGGAGAAUGCUGUGCAUAUACCGGGAAGGAGAUUAGCAGAUCCAGAAGAUCCGGAAAGUACCGUCACAAGUAAUUGGCUAGAGUAAAGGAGGUUGUGCACUAUUUUUCACGAAUAUAUAUUUGCUUAUUUUUUUUCUUCUGAUAUUUUCCUCACCGAGUUGAUAUGAAACCAUAACCACACACCCAAACCAAAAGUAAAUAAUUCUGAAAGUUACGUCUCGCUACUCAUCUCACGUCAUGUCCUGAAAGUGUCAAAAACGAAACACCUAUCGUUCAGCAUCUUGAAUACGAGCAGUUGAUGAUGCAAACACCAGCUGAGCUGAUGGAUCAAAUCGGCCAAUUCCUUCCUCGAGUUCCAAUUUUAUUUGUAUAGAA